Molecule: long non-coding RNA, 1566 nt
Organism: Ictalurus punctatus (channel catfish)
Lineage: Eukaryota; Metazoa; Chordata; Actinopteri; Siluriformes; Ictaluridae
Source: Ensembl
UGAAGGUUCUGGAAAGGGACCUUGCGCCACGCUGAGUGGGAACCACUACACGUUGAUCACUAAUCGAUGCGAGAGGGAACAUAGGCCAUUACCACUACCAUUACCACAAACAGUUCUGCACUCGAGUCUCCAUCAGUGAACAGUGGAGACGUUCCACUAACCCUAACCCUAGUAUAGGUGGUGUUGGAGGUUGUUAAUGUUAGUGCCUGUGAUGUUGGAGGUUGUUAAUGUUAGUGUCUGUGGUGUUGGAGGUUGUUAAUGUUAGUGUCUGUUGUGUUGGAGGAGGUUGUUAAUGUUAGUGUCUGUGGUGUUGGAGGAGGUUGUUAAUGUUAGUGUGUGUGGUGUUGGAGGUUGUUAAUGUUAGUGUCUGUGGUGUUGGAGGUUGUUAAUGUUAGUGUCUGUGGAGUUGGAGGUUGUUAAUGUUAGUGUGUGUGGUGUUGGAGGUUGUUAAUGUUAGUGUCUGUGGUGUUGAAGGAGGUUUUUAAUGUUAGUGCCUGUGGUGCUGGAGGUUGUUAAUGUUAGUGUGUGUGGUGUUGGAGGUUGUUAAUGUUAGUGUCUGUGGUGUUGGAGGAGGUUGUUAAUGUUAGUGUCUGUGGUGUUGGAGGUUGUUAAUGUUAGUGUCUGUGGUGUUGGAGGUUGUUAAUUUUAGUGUGUGUGGUGUUGGAGGUUGUUAAUGUUAGUGUCUGUGGUGUUGGAGGUUGUUAAUGUUAGUGUGUGUGGUGUUGGAGGUUGUUAAUGUUAGUGUCUGUGGUGUUGGAGGAGGUUGUUAAUGUUAGUGUCUGUGGUGUUGGAGGUGGUUAAUGUUAGUGUCUGUGGUGUUGGAGGAGGUUGUUAAUGUUAGUGUCUGUGGUGUUGGAGGUUGUUAAUGUUAGUGUGUGUGGUGUUGGAGGUUGUUAAUGUUAGUGUGUGUGGUGUUGGAGGUUGUUAAUGUUAGUGUCUGUGGUGUUGGAGGUUGUUAAUGUUAGUGUGUGUGGUGUUGGAGGUUGUUAAUGUUAGUGUCUGUGGUGUUGGAGGAGGUUGUUAAUGUUAGUGUCUGUGGUGUUGGAGGUUGUUAAUGUUAGUGUCUGUGGUGUUGGAGGUUGUUAAUGUUAGUGUGUGUGGUGUUGGAGGUUGUUAAUGUUACUGUCUGUGGUGUUGGAGGAGGUUGUUAAUGUUAGUGUCUGUGGUGUUGGAGGUUGUUAAUGUUAGUGUCUGUGGUGCUGGAGGUUGUUAAUGUUAGUGUCUGUGGUGUUGGACGUUGUUAAUGUUAGUGUCUGUGGUGUUGGAGGAGGUUGUUACUGUUAGUGUCUGUGGUGUUGGAGGUUGUUACUGUUAGUGUCUGUGGUGUUGGAGGUUGUUAAUGUUAGUGUCUGUGGUGUUGGAGGAGGUUGUUAAUGUUAGUGUCUGUGGUGUUGGAGGUUGUUAAUGUUAGUGUCUGUGGUGUCGGAGGAGGUUGUUACUGUUAGUGUCUGUGGUGUUGGAAUGGUUGAGAAGGUUAAGAGGGCAGUGCUUUCAUUAACUGUGGAGGAAUCUUUAUCUUUAUUGGAGAUUAUUCUGUUCCCCUGUUUAUAUGUUUCUGUAAAGCUG